GGGUGGUCAGUGGUACACAGGAGAGGAGGACUGCAGGAGAGGCCUCAUGGAGAAGGAUCUUCCAGCUGUCCGAUAGGGCUCUGGAUAGGAUGGUAAUUGCCUUCGUAUCCUUCAGAAACACCAGUGCUUUGUGUUCAAGGUCCAGAGGGUAGAAAAGGAAUGAAUCAGAGAUAGGGCUUUGCGAGCCCAGGGUGAGUAAAGCAGAGAUAACAGUGCUCUGGCUCUGGCCAAACUGAAUCCCAUAGUGCUGCCACGCCCCAUUCACUUUUCAUUUCUAUCUUUCAACUGCAGUCCAACGGCAUGGGAGUGUGGGGUCAUGCAGCCUCCCCGUGAGAAUUCCCUCCAGAUCCCUUUGUACUCUCUGCUGAGAUGAAGAGCGCAGAAGAUUGGCACACAGGGGUAUGAGGCUUACCAGUGAUGCCCGGGCCUCUUGCUUCCUUGGCAGCUACAUGACAUCUACUGACUCUGCCUACUACCUUCCCUGUUUGGAUUUCCUGCCUGGCUAAAUCCUGCCUGCCCAUUGGUCAAAACAGCUUUAUUCGUCAAUCAAUAAGAGAAACUUAUAUUCACAGUAUACAGAAGGACAUGCCCCAUCAGUGUGCCUAUCACAACUCCUCCAUUCUCAGGGUGGAAGAUUUCCCAAACCAGAAAAUCCCCUGUCUUCAUGUCCAACCUUCACUUUCAUUUUAUAAGUAAAGCCAGGAUGAGUUAUUUCUGGAAUCCUUGCACUGCUCAGUCAUUUAACAAUGUCCCACUCCUUCCUUACCUCCCACUAAGCAGAGAAAGAGACCUUCACAUCUUACAUGUCUAUACUUAGAAACAGCCUUUGCCUUAGCACCUGUUGCUUGUUACCAAUUGGGAAGACACUGUCAUCUGGGGUCUCUGAUUCCCUGCCAUUCAUAGUUUUGAUCGAAGAAAAUUCAAAAGGAUCAUAUUUGAUCAAAAUAAAAUAAAAAUAAUUGCAAUCCCC
This 970-nucleotide long non-coding RNA is filed under the name Cricetulus griseus (Chinese hamster). RNAcentral describes it as "lncRNA (ENSCGRG00015030418.1)". The record is from RNAcentral. Lineage: Eukaryota; Metazoa; Chordata; Mammalia; Rodentia; Cricetidae.